CCCUUGCUCGCUGCUGCUGCCACGUAAGAAGUGUGUUGCUUCCCCUUCGUCUUCCACCAUGAAUAACAGAAUGGCAAUUUUCGUGUGGUGUUAAUUUCCGUGGAAGAAGAAAAGGCUCGACUCUCUGUCCUAUUUUUCAUGAAUACUGGAAGUAGGGAAUAAACCUGGAGUCUCACGGGUGAAAAGAGACAUUUCCAUAUCACCAGACCACAAACGUGGGUGUUGAUUCUAAGGAUACCCCCAAUAAACAUCUUUCGUGCUAAAGCCCAUUCCAGAAUUUACUUCCCAGCUAUCUUUGAUGUUCAUAUUGUCAGAGGUGGUGGCCGCUGAAACAGGCAAAGACAUGGAGCAUAUCUUGGGUCCAGGUAAAGGAGGUGGGUGCACACAAGUGAAAAGAUGUUGCUGAAGUCACGUGGCUUCAAGCAGUAGAGCUGACUGUCCUCUAGUCCAGUUGUCCCUACAGGAUAAAAGCUUCUCUCCAUUACAGAGACCUUGGGAGUCCAGAGGAAGGUCUUUUUACCAUCAGCAUUCUCUACUGUGUUCAAUGACUGUCAGCCAAAGAUGGCCAGGUUCUCUACUGUGAUGGUGAAUUUUAUGUGUCAAUUUGACUGGACCAUGGGAUGCCCAGGUACUUGGUGAAACAUUUCUCUGAGGAUGUCUCUGGCUUUCCUUCAGAAAGAAAUGCAUUCAAAGAACCUACAUUCACAACAUAAAGAAAUAAAGCACACACAAGACCGCCAAGCAUUAAGAUUCUCCUGUGGAGCCAGGCUACAAUCCUUUAAAUGAAGACAGACAGCUAGGUGGCUGCAGCCCAGCGCUACACCUCACCCCUCCCUCAGUGUCAUGCAGAAAAAAUGUAUUCAGAACUCAGAAGUGAAGUUGUGCAAAUCCAUCAUUGACACUAGCUUCAAGGUUACCUCGGGGGAGCAGAAUGUACCCCUGCCAGAGAGCUGGAUAGAUGAUGAUGGGGACAGAAAUUCUGGGGGAGUUGUAAAUGGCAGCCACUGCCUCUAUAGGAAACCCAAAGGGAACACAGCAGAAGAGGAGGUGGUGGAGGAGCCACUGCCCUCUCGAAGGGUUCAAUGUCAUUCUGCAGACACAACCAAAUAACUUUUUCUUCCCUGCUGCUCCUCCAUUUGAAAUGACAGCCCCGAGCUCGCUUUUUCCUUGAUUGUGUAACUCUGAUUACAGACAAGGCCAAGGCAAUCCCAGGGCAUUACUACAAAGCUAAGGGGUCCCCAAAGAACUAAAGAGUCAGCUCCACAAAAAUCCCGAUUCCUAGCAUGAAACUGAAAUAUGAAACCAAACGGGCAUAGAAAAGGUAUGUGCAUUCGAAUCACAUAGCAGUGACUGGAGUCCUGAGCUGUGUCUGAAGACUGUGAGAUCACGUUUGGAGCUGCUGAUUGGUUUUCAGUGAUGGCCCUGUUGCACAGUGCCGUGAGACUUAGCUCCAUGGCCAAAGACGAUGGUAUCCCCUAGGAGCCCUGUGAGGUUGCUGCUGUUCUCUUAAGACACCAGGUAGCCAUCUGAUCCUCCCUGAGCAAACUAACUGGGCAGACAGGUUUAUUAAACCUCUGUUGGUCCGACUUACAUGAAACAAGAGAGUUAUUUUGUUGUUGUUGUUUUGUUUUGUUUUAAAUUAAACCUGUCUUUGGAGCCUCCUGCUCUUAGUUUACAAGUCUUCUUUGCACACUCUAAUAUUUUAAGAAGCAGCAAACAUUAACUGAGGGUCUA
RNAcentral lists this long non-coding RNA (1734 nucleotides) under Homo sapiens (human). RNAcentral describes it as "HSALNT0232332". Lineage: Eukaryota; Metazoa; Chordata; Mammalia; Primates; Hominidae. The record is from RNAcentral.